CACAUAAUCUUGGAUUUAUUUAAUCUAAUCCAUGUCUGAAUAUCCCUUUUAGGGCUAACUUGACAAGAUACCUUUCAGCUCUUACUUGAAAACCUCUGAGGUUUAAGUUUUGCAAAUUCACUCCCCAUAAACACUCUUUUUGGCCCUGGAGAAGUUGGCUAAACUCUAGGCUGCCCUCUUUUGUUGAUAAUUGUCUCCAGGUCCAUGUCUUUGGAAAAGCAGACUGGGAGCUUGUUUUAUCCUCUGGCCAUCAUGUCUUGCUUGCUCUCUAAGAAGCAGUGGAUUGUAUGGAGAAAGAUUGUUUCCUGUCCCUGUUGGGUACCCUGACAUCCUUAGACCUCUUGAAUUCACAAAGAACCCUCUAAGGACUGGGGGCAGAGUAGAAACAAAUGACCACACAGGAUUUCUGCAGCAUUUUUGUAGGACUAGAUAUGUUCCUAGAAAUAGAAGAAUUCAGCACAUACUCCUUGGAAACUGCCUAAUACACUCAUUGGCAUUCAUGCCCCACAGUUUGCAGUCUUUGCCUCACCUUUAUUUAUAACUUGCUUUCACAAAGUAUGUUCCUUCUAAUUCAUCUCUUGUCUGCGAUAUUUGACCUGGACAUCUAUGGAGUAGGACUGCUCCACUGUGGAAUUAAAUGAAGAUAGAAAACAUAAACAUAACUGGAAAUGUGCACAAACAUAUUUAUGAAAAAUUACUUAGCCUUUUUUUUUGCUAAAGUUAGUAUAAUUUUUAAAAUUCUUUUUAACUCUGACAGUGCAUUUAUAACACUUCUGUGUCCAAGAAAUAAAGCAUGUCUUCACAAACA
RNAcentral lists this long non-coding RNA (808 nucleotides) under Monodelphis domestica (gray short-tailed opossum). Its description in RNAcentral is "lncRNA (ENSMODG00000032875.2)". The record is from RNAcentral. Lineage: Eukaryota; Metazoa; Chordata; Mammalia; Didelphimorphia; Didelphidae.